RNAcentral lists this ribosomal RNA (425 nucleotides) under Laevichlamys multisquamata. RNAcentral describes it as "partial 12S ribosomal RNA". It matches the Rfam family "Bacterial small subunit ribosomal RNA", at positions 875 to 1418 of the family's 1533-position model. The record is from RNAcentral. Lineage: Eukaryota; Metazoa; Mollusca; Bivalvia; Pectinida; Pectinidae.
ACUUUGCUAUGGGCAGCUACUAGAGGACUACGAGCGUGUGCUUAAAACUCAAAGGACUUGGCGGCUAGUUAACUACCUAGGGGAAUAUGCGCCUUAAUCCGAUGAUCCCCGUUGAAUCUUACUGUACCUCGAAGAAGAACAGCUGGUGUAUUGCCGUCGUCAGCCUGUUGUUUGAGCAAAUAGAAACAGGCCCAAGGGACUUACAGGCCAAUUAAGUUUGGUAGGGACCACGAAGUCAGGUCGAAAUGCCGCCAAUGGUGCUAGGGAGUGGGUGUUACAAUUCUUAUUUAGAUAUUUCGGAUCCUGGUAACAGUGAAAUCUCUGGGUGAAGCUGAACUUAGGAGUAAGGGAAGAUUAAUAUGCUCCCCUGAACUUGAGACUAACUUGUGCACAAACCGCCCGUCGCUCUCGCCGGAAGGGGAGAU